This 328-nucleotide ribosomal RNA is filed under the name uncultured eukaryote. RNAcentral describes it as "partial 18S ribosomal RNA". It matches the Rfam family "Eukaryotic small subunit ribosomal RNA", at positions 1470 to 1796 of the family's 1831-position model. The record is from RNAcentral.
CCCUUAGAUGUUCUGGGCUGCACGCGCGCUACACUGAUGCGCUCAACGAGUUUUAACCUUGCCUGGAAAGGUUGGGUAAUCUUUUUAAAACGCAUCGUGAUGGGGAUAGAUUAUUGCAAUUAUUAAUCUUCAACGAGGAAUUCCUAGUAAGCGCGAGUCAUCAGCUCGUGCUGAUUACGUCCCUGCCCUUUGUACACACCGCCCGUCGCUCCUACCGAUUGAAUGUGUUGGUGAGGAGCUCGGAUUGGCAGCAGUUGGUGGUUCGCCACCGGCUAUUGCUGAGAAGUCCUCCAAACCGCCCCAUUUAGAGGAAGGAGAAGUCGUAACA